This 74-nucleotide transfer RNA is filed under the name Gasterosteus aculeatus (three-spined stickleback). It matches the Rfam family "tRNA". From Rfam's summary of the family: Transfer RNA (tRNA) molecules are approximately 80 nucleotides in length. Their secondary structure includes four short double-helical elements and three loops (D, anti-codon, and T loops). Further hydrogen bonds mediate the characteristic L-shaped molecular structure. tRNAs have two regions of fundamental functional importance: the anti-codon, which is responsible for specific mRNA codon recognition, and the 3' end, to which the tRNAs corresponding amino acid is attached (by aminoacyl-tRNA synthetases). tRNAs cope with the degeneracy of the genetic code in two manners: having more than one tRNA (with a specific anti-codon) for a particular amino acid; and 'wobble' base-pairing, i.e. permitting non-standard base-pairing at the 3rd anti-codon position. Lineage: Eukaryota; Metazoa; Chordata; Actinopteri; Perciformes; Gasterosteidae. The record is from Rfam by way of RNAcentral.
GUCUCUGUGGCCUAAUUGAUCAGUGUGUUUGGCUGUUAACUGAAAGGUUGUUGGUUCAAGCCCACCCAGGGAUG